This 500-nucleotide long non-coding RNA is filed under the name Brassica rapa (field mustard). Its description in RNAcentral is "long non-coding RNA (BRAP_LNC008376)". The record is from RNAcentral. Lineage: Eukaryota; Viridiplantae; Streptophyta; Magnoliopsida; Brassicales; Brassicaceae.
UGACUUUAGGAGAUCCUAAGCCAAGCUUGGAACUCUGAAGAGUCUCCCUCAUUAAAAACCUUACAAGGAAAACCCAUUGGGACAAAACCUUGCAAGGGAAAAAGAGUAGAGCUCUUCAAAGCCUAGGGAUUAGCCAGUGAGCUCUUGUGCCUUAGAACCAGUGUGGUUGGACACAAGAAGCUCUGGAUCACGGCCUAACAGGUGCAGCAACUCUUCACAGCUUUGCGCACACUUCACACUUCACACUUCAGCUUCACCUCUUCAUGGAACCGGUUUGAAGUCUCCCCCUCUCAACUGACUUCACAGCCAUCUUAGAGAAGCUAGGACACGACCAGAUCAUCUUCAAAACACUAGUGAGGCUGAUCAACACUUCACACACGGCUUGCCCUCUUCCUAGAACUGGUUUGGAUCUCCCCCUCUCAACAGACUUCUCAGCCAUCUUAGAGAAGCUCGGAACUGACCAGGAACAUCUUUAGUGAGGCUCAAGCAAUGGUACCUGA